Molecule: long non-coding RNA, 4684 nt
Organism: Oncorhynchus tshawytscha (Chinook salmon)
Lineage: Eukaryota; Metazoa; Chordata; Actinopteri; Salmoniformes; Salmonidae
Source: Ensembl
AUGAGACAGUGGACUGCCACGUGGGCCAGCCCUGAGCACCUGAAAUACUAGCUAGACAACGGACUGGUUUUAAACUGACACAGGGAGAGAAUGAGACAGUGGACUGCCACGUGGGCCAGCCCUGAGCACCUGAAAUACUAGCUAGACAACGGACUGGUUUUAAACUGACACAGGGAGAGAAUGAGACAGUGGACUGCCACGUGGGCCAGCCCUGAGCUCCUGAAUUACUAGCUAGACAACGGACUGGUUUUAAACUGACACAGGGAGAGAAUGAGACAGUGGACUGCCACGUGGGCCAGCCCUGAGCACCUGAAAUACUAGCUAGACAACGGACUGGUUUUAAACUGACACAGGGAGAGAAUGAGACAGUGGACUGCCACGUGGGCCAGCCCUGAGCUCCUGAAUCACUAGCUAGACAACGGACUGGUUUUAAACUGACACAGGGAGAGAAUGAGACAGUGGACUGUCACGUGGGCCAGCCCUGAGCUCCUGAAUUACUAGCUAGACAACAGACUGGUUUUAAACUGACACAGGGAGAGAAUGAGACAGUGGACUGUCACGUGGGCCAGCCCUGAGCUCCUGAAUUACUAGCUAGACAACAGACUGGUUUUAAACUGACACAGGGAGAGAAUGAGACAGUGGACUGUCACGUGGGCCAGCCAUGAGCUCCUGAAUUACUAGCUAGACAACGGACUGGUUUUAAACUGACACAGGGAGAGAAUGAGACAGUGGACUGUCACGUGGGCCAGUCCUGAGCUCCUGAAUUACUAGCUAGACAACGGACUGGUUUUAAACUGACACAGGGAGAGAAUGAGACAGUGGACUGUCACGUGGGCCAGCCCUGAGCUCCUGAAUUACUAGCUAGACAACGGACUGGUUUUAAACUGACACAGGGAGAGAAUGAGACAGUGGACUGUCACGUGGGCCAGCCCUGAGCUCCUGAAUUACUAGCUAGACAACAGACUGGUUUUAAACUGACACAGGGAGAGAAUGAGACAGUGGACUGUCACGUGGGCCAGCCAUGAGCUCCUGAAUUACUAGCUAGACAUUUCACCCUUUGACAGAGGAACAGAGGAACAGAGAAACAGAGAACAAACCAUUUGUCAUUGCACACAUUGUUUUGUUUUUUGUCGUUUAUUUUAUAUUUGUAAACUAAUUUGACAUGUAUUUACUCUACUCUUGUAUAUGAAACCGUGAGAGAAGCACAGAAGGUCACAGAAGUAUUCUUUUUUUACAUGGUGUUUAAUAGUGUAAAUCUCCAUGUGGGAUGGUCAGUCGUCACCAGAACCUCUUGUUAUUAGCUGACCCAUAGAAUCACUAGAACGGGUAUAGGCCCUCAGACCAUGUCAAUUUCACAGGAGAUUAUAUUUCUAUGGGCAGACCUAAACUAAGCUAGAAAGUGGUCUUUGUCAUUCUGUCUUUAAAUGACCUCAGAUGGAGACUACAGGACCAUUAUGCCACAAGUUCUACAAGUUUACCAGAAAAAUCUGUAAAAUAUUCAUAGGAAACUGUAUUAGUUGGAAUCCACUUACCUAACACAUUCAUUAAGCCUACAGCAGACUACAUUGGUGUAAAGUCAGACCUUGGCUUUUUUCUGACUUUUUGGAUGUUAGUGAUAUUGGUCUACCAAUGGUUAUUGUUAAAUGUCUGAGUAGUCCUAAUUAAGUGUUCAGUAAUGGAGUAGGGUGACGUUGCCCCUAGAUGCCGAUCUUGGGUCAGUUUUUAACUUCUCCCACUAAUGGUUAAUGUUAGGAUUGGGGAGGGGAAGCCGAUUCCAGAUCUGGACUUAGGGGAAACUUCCCACAGGGGCAUCAAUUGUACAAGGAAUUGAAAAAUAAGCUUAUUUCGACUCUGAAGAUGUUUUGGUGUUUCUGUCUCUCAUCAUGAUGGUCCAAUCAUGUCAAAGGUUACAGUUUCAUUCAGUUUGAACCUUCAAAAGGAGCUUCUUCUCUGUACAGCGUCUCCAUGUCGGUCCCUCAAGUUUAAUUUCAUAACGAUUUCAUGCUCAAUGAAUGUUUUUUUUUGCCAAAUAGGUACGAUGUUAUAUGCUGAAAAACAGCACAAUGUUUUGUAAAGUGCACAAUGCAGUCUGGUACCCCCCCGUUAGACGGUACUCUUCCACCUUGGCCACCCCCACCCCCCAAAAAAAUAGGUCCCCCGGCUAUGAAAAUGGCAGCGCCCGCCCUUGUACUAUGCAGCCCUUAUUACUUAAUGUACUUUGACCAUUUCUGGCUUCAUUCCAUUCAUUUGACUGGAUGAUAUAAACUAACAAUGCAUCCUUUAUUUGAGAUGAUUCAGGAGAGAUGACAACACUGUUGAUCAGAAAAUAGGAUCGGUCUUACUCUGGGAGGCUAUUUUUAUAGAACUCAACAUUAUCGCCCCACAUAUACUUUCUGUAUAUAUAUUUAAUUGAAUAUAUUAAAUGGAUCUUCUAAGGCUUGCUUCUAAAGGGGUUUGUGAAUAGAAAUGACUGCAAUAAAAUGGAAUGUGAUCUUGGUCAUAAGCUCUCAGACAACGGAACCUGCUCCCUCGACUGACCCGGCAUCAGUGGGCCCCAUUACAACACUAACGAAAACCAAACCAAGUGUUAUUUGUGACAUGCUUUGUAAAGAACUGGUGUAGUCUAACAGUGAAAUGCUUACUUACCCUUUCCAACAAUGUAGAGAGAACGAUAAUAACACAAGGAAUAAAUCCACAAUGAGUAAAGAUAACUUGGCUUUAUACACGGGGCACCAGUACGGAGUUGAUGUGCAGGGAAUGAGGUAGAUAUGUACAUAUAGGUAGGGGUUAAGUGACUUGGCAAUAGGAUAGAUAAUAAGCACUAGCAGCAGCGUAUGUGAUGAGUCAAGAGUUGAUGCAAAAGGGGGUCAGUGCAGAUAGUUUGGGUAGCUAUUUGGUUCACUAUUUAGCAAUCUUAAGGUUUGGGGGUAGAAGCUGUUCAGGGUUCUAUUGGUUUCAGACUUGAUGCAUAGGUACCGCUUGUCUAUGCAUGAGGCCCAGUGAUGUACUGGGCCUCAUGCACUGUAGCGCCUUGCGGUUGGAUGCUAAGCAGUUGCCAUAUCAAGCGAUGAUGCAGCCAGUCAAGAUGGUGCAGCUGUAGAACUUUAUGAGGAUCUGAGGGCCCAGGCCAAAUCUUUUCAUCCUCCUGAGGGGGAAGAGGUGUUGUCGUGCCUUCUUCACGACCGUGUUGGUUUGUUUGGACCAUGUUAAUUCCUUAGUGAUGUGGAUGCCGAGGAACGAGACGCUCUCAACCCGCUCCACUACAGCCGAGUGCUACGGGGCGAUAGUGAUUUAGACGGGUUACCUUGGCAUUCUUGGACACAGGGUCUAUGGUGGUCUGCUUGAAACAUGUAGGUAUUACAGACUGGGUCCUGGAGAGGUUGAAAAUGUCUGAAGACACUUGCCAGCUGAUCAGAGCAUGCUCUUUGUACCCGUCCUGUGAACCCAUCUGACCCCGCGGUGAAUGUUAAUCUGUUUUAAAGGUCUUACUCACAUCGGCUAUGGCGAGCGAAAUCAAACAGUCGUCCGGAACAGCUGGUGCUCUCGUGCAUUCCGCUAGGCGAGCAUUUCGCUCGUCUGGUAGACUUCCGUCACUAGGCAGCUCAUGACUGGGUUUCCCUUUCUAAUCCUUGAUCGUUUGCAAGCUCUGCCACAUCCGAGUGUCAGAACCGGUGUAGUAGGAUUCGAUUUUAGUCCUGUAUCGAGGCUUUGCCUGGUUGACGGCUCGUCAGAGGUCGUAGUGGGAUUUAGUGUCCCUGCUCCUUGAAAGCGGUAGCUCGAUGUGGCAAUGACUGCACGUCGUAAAACUUGCCCUAAAAUGCAGACCUGGGAUCAACUCUAGCCUGCACCAAUCUUAACCGGAUCCUUUCAGGUGAAAAGCAAAACUGAUCUGAGAUCAGGACUUUGAGACAACAACAGUCUGAGUAUGUGCUCAGUUAAACCGGUUUUAUUACUCUGGGUCAAUCCAUUUGCAAUAAGGUGCAGUAGCUUCAGUUUGAGCUCCAGAUUUAGGCUGCAUCAUUACCUGGCUGACAGACUUCUGACAUUUCCUGAGGCAGGGAGGGUUCUGGUCGGGUGACGUCUCACACAGUGCUUUGAAAGUCCCACCUCCAUCCUUCCCCUUUCAGUUUUCUUCGGGGCCAGUGGCACAGGAGGUUUUGCCAUGGCAACAAGCAAGGAAAGAGGGCCAGGAAAAAGCAGACACUCGUUCCUUUAGCCAGGUGUUUAAGUGUUCUGAAACUGUGCUCCUGUGACUGUCCCUCACCCAACCCUGGGUCUUGUUCAUUAUACACCAAACAGACUGAAGCAGAGGGAAUAUAUGGAUUUAGUCCAAUAAGAAAGGCUUGUUUUGAUUUAGUUUUAAUUUACAACACUAAAGCUUUUUGCUUGUGUUCGCUAAUGAAUAUGGCCCUGGACUAGCACCUGCAACUACUACUGCCAGCCCUGUUCUGUACCAGACUGACCAAUGAUGACAGGGUAAAACAAACCAUUGAAGGCCAAACAUGGAAUUAAAGUUGGUUAAAAACAUGGCUCUGACUCGUGUCGUUCUUUCGUCGUCCAGCUCCCCGUCUCCUCCUUUACCGCAGAAAUAGAACAGUAGGCCUACAUUCCUGACAUGGAAUGCUUCAUUCUCUCGACCCACAUGUUAUUAGCCACUUCAUGAGCUUGUUCAGCUUAGUCCAUG